This 208-nucleotide long non-coding RNA is filed under the name Lathyrus oleraceus (garden pea). Its description in RNAcentral is "Pisum sativum (pea) long non-coding RNA (PSAT_LNC024878)". The record is from RNAcentral. Lineage: Eukaryota; Viridiplantae; Streptophyta; Magnoliopsida; Fabales; Fabaceae.
AUACUCCAGCUGGGGCUGCUGUUGCUGCUUGUUGUUAGGCCACCUGAGAAAUUUGGGUUUCUAACAUUUUGUUAUGGGUAGCCAUAUCAUCAAGCUUGUUUGAUAUUUGUUUCAAUCAGCUCAUUCGUGUGAACAUGUUGGUUAGCAAAUUCUUUAUUCUGUUGGGUUUGGGCUGCGAUAAAGUUCUCCAAUAGUAGUUCGACAUUUG